Non-coding RNA from Planktomarina temperata RCA23, 78 nucleotides. The record is from Rfam. Lineage: Bacteria; Pseudomonadati; Pseudomonadota; Alphaproteobacteria; Rhodobacterales; Paracoccaceae.
UUUGUGACGCGUGGCGAUUUGUUACCGGAUUGCGGGCCACGUUAAAUAAGCUGCUAAAAGGGUUUGGGAUAUGACAGA